Molecule: ribosomal RNA, 208 nt
Filed under: uncultured bacterium
Lineage: Bacteria
Description: partial 16S ribosomal RNA
Rfam family: Bacterial small subunit ribosomal RNA
Source: RNAcentral
UGCGUAGGUGGUUUCUUAAGUCAGGAGUGAAAGGCUACGGCUCAACCGUAGUAAGCUCUUGGAACUGGGAAACUUGAGUGCAGGAGAGGAAAGUGGAAUUCCUAGUGUAGCGGUGAAAUGCGUAGAUAUUAGGAGGAACACCAGUGGCGAAGGCGGCUUUCUGGACUGUAACUGACACUGAGGCACGAAAGCGUGGGGAGGCAAAACA